GGAAACAGGUGAAUCUGAAUAUAAUAAUAGUACAUUUGGAUUAUUUUUUAUUUUUAGGUUUAAUUUCUUUUUUUGUUGCAGAUAAACAUGGAGGUAGAAAGAGGUCAAAAAUCUUAAUCAUGAGCUUCUCUGUGAUCGGGUCAACAACCCUUCUAUGUUUGGGUGUAUAUUUUUUCUGUUACAGAAGAAGAGGUAGAAAAGAUAAUUUCCU
Molecule: long non-coding RNA, 211 nt
Filed under: Vigna radiata
Lineage: Eukaryota; Viridiplantae; Streptophyta; Magnoliopsida; Fabales; Fabaceae
Description: long non-coding RNA (VRAD_LNC015974)
Source: RNAcentral